ACGGGGGCGGCCCCUCCUGGCGCCAGGCGCCUCCCGGUCUCUGCACUGUGACCCGCGGGGCCGCGUCAGUCUGGGGGCGCCUUCGCGCUUGUUUCCCCUUCCUGCCCGAUAGCCCGGCGGCUCCUCAGGCGCGGCGGAGCUUUGAGGGUCAGGAGUUUCUACUCCCUCACGUCAAGAGGCGAACCACCCCUCCUUCAUCUCUCACUGACCAGGGGCCCCGGAGACUGGCCACUGGGAAUUUCUGCUCUCUCACAUCAAGUUGCAAAGCCUCCCGCACUUCUCAUCUUUCCAUGAUCAGGUGUCCCAGGCUACUGGGUCUGGAGAGCAGAACCAGGAGGACCUGAUCAUCACCAGGUGAUAAUCAAAAGAGCCAACGAAAAAGAACACUUUUACCUGUUUUGGCAUGGAUUUGGGGCAGCCCUGAACUG
Molecule: long non-coding RNA, 428 nt
Organism: Sorex araneus (European shrew)
Lineage: Eukaryota; Metazoa; Chordata; Mammalia; Eulipotyphla; Soricidae
Exons: 4
Source: RefSeq, a predicted model, not a curated record